GGCAGCUUGGCCGAGUGGUUAAGGCGUUAGAUUUAGGCUACAAAGAACUCUAAUGGGCAACCGCGUGAGUUCGAACCUCACAGCUGUCA
This 89-nucleotide transfer RNA is filed under the name Rhodotorula toruloides. RNAcentral's name for it is "Rhodosporidium toruloides tRNA". It matches the Rfam family "tRNA". Rfam says of the family: Transfer RNA (tRNA) molecules are approximately 80 nucleotides in length. Their secondary structure includes four short double-helical elements and three loops (D, anti-codon, and T loops). The record is from Rfam by way of RNAcentral. Lineage: Eukaryota; Fungi; Basidiomycota; Microbotryomycetes; Sporidiobolales; Sporidiobolaceae. RNAcentral also lists the same sequence under 1 other name.